Hibiscus syriacus is the source of this 398-nucleotide long non-coding RNA. RefSeq lists it as uncharacterized. NCBI's taxonomy places the organism in Eukaryota, Viridiplantae, Streptophyta, Magnoliopsida, Malvales, Malvaceae. The record is from RefSeq and is a predicted model, not a curated record. The transcript is spliced from 2 exons.
CCUUGGGGCCCUGGAUUUGGAGGGUCAGGAGGACCUGGAGGCUUUGGUCCUGGGGGUCCCGGUCCUUGGGGCCCUGGAUUUGGAGGUCCUGUUGGUUUCUUUGGUGGCUUUGCUAAUGGUUUGUGCAACAUGAUAUCUUCAUGCUUCUACUGCCUCUGCUGUUGUUGGAUACUACAAGACUGCUUUGGUGGACCCCGUGGUUAUGGCCCUCCCCCUUUCUAAUCCUCUCUCACCUGCCGCCUGCUGCUCUGCUUGUGUUGUGUAAUAAUGCCUUUUAAUAAGCUUCACAAUCUAGUAAUUGCUUCUUACUGUUGUUUUCCCUACUCUUUUCAUAUAUUCUGUAAACUUUUAUCAGCGUUGAUAAAUGAUGUUAUAGACUGGUUGGAAUUUCGUUGUUC